AUUGAACGCUGGCGGCAUGCCUUACACAUGCAAGUCGAACGGUAACAGGUUAAGCUGACGAGUGGCGAACGGGUGAGUAAUGUAUCGGAACGUGCCCAGUCGUGGGGGAUAACUGCUCGAAAGAGCAGCUAAUACCGCAUACGACCUGAGGGUGAAAGCGGGGGAUCGCAAGACCUCGCGCGAUUGGAGCGGCCGAUAUCAGAUUAGGUAGUUGGUGAGGUAAAGGCUCACCAAGCCGACGAUCUGUAGCUGGUCUGAGAGGACGACCAGCCACACUGGGACUGAGACACGGCCCAGACUCCUACGGGAGGCAGCAGUGGGGAAUUUUGGACAAUGGGCGCAAGCCUGAUCCAGCCAUGCCGCGUGCGGGAAGAAGGCCUUCGGGUUGUAAACCGCUUUUGUCAGGGAAGAAAAGGUUCUGGCUAAUUCCUGGGACUCAUGACGGUACCUGAAGAAUAAGCACCGGCUAACUACGUG
This 477-nucleotide ribosomal RNA is filed under the name uncultured bacterium. RNAcentral's name for it is "partial 16S ribosomal RNA". It matches the Rfam family "Bacterial small subunit ribosomal RNA", at positions 30 to 507 of the family's 1533-position model. The record is from RNAcentral.